GCCUUUGUGGUGUAGUGUUCAGCACGCUCGACGCGUAACCGAGAGAUACGGGUUCGAUUCCCGGCGAAGGCG
This 72-nucleotide transfer RNA is filed under the name Stegodyphus mimosarum. It matches the Rfam family "tRNA". Rfam says of the family: Transfer RNA (tRNA) molecules are approximately 80 nucleotides in length. The record is from Rfam by way of RNAcentral. Lineage: Eukaryota; Metazoa; Arthropoda; Arachnida; Araneae; Eresidae.